RNAcentral lists this transfer RNA (93 nucleotides) under Actinomycetota bacterium. RNAcentral's name for it is "tRNA-Ser". It matches the Rfam family "tRNA". Rfam says of the family: Transfer RNA (tRNA) molecules are approximately 80 nucleotides in length. Their secondary structure includes four short double-helical elements and three loops (D, anti-codon, and T loops). Lineage: Bacteria; Bacillati; Actinomycetota. The record is from RNAcentral.
GGAGAGGUGGCAGAGCGGCUAAUGCGGCGGCUCCUAGAGAGUCGUCACGCCGACAUGAUACGGCGUCGGGGGUUCGAAUCCCUCCCCUCUCCG